CUACCAGGGUAUCUAAUCCUGUUUGCUCCCCACGCUUUCGUACCUCAGCGUCAAUACCGGUCCAGUGAGCCGCCUUCGCCACUGGUGUUCUUCCGAAUAUCUACGAAUUUCACCUCUACACUCGGAAUUCCACUCACCUCUCCCGGAUUCAAGCGAUGCAGUCUUAAAGGCAGUUCUGGAGUUGAGCUCCAGGCUUUCACCUCUAACUUACAAAGCCGCCUACGUACGCUUUACGCCCAGUAAUUCCGAACAACGCUAGCUCCCUCCGUAUUACCGCGGCGGCUGGCAC
RNAcentral lists this ribosomal RNA (289 nucleotides) under uncultured Sphingomonas sp. Its description in RNAcentral is "partial 16S ribosomal RNA". Lineage: Bacteria; Pseudomonadati; Pseudomonadota; Alphaproteobacteria; Sphingomonadales; Sphingomonadaceae. The record is from RNAcentral.